CCUACGGGGGGCAGCAGUGAGGAAUAUUGGUCAAUGGACGAGAGUCUGAACCAGCCAAGUAGCGUGAAGGAUGACUGCCCUAUGGGUUGUAAACUUCUUUUAUAUGGGAAUAAAAUGUUCCACGUGUGGGAUUUUGUAUGUACCAUAUGAAUAAGGAUCGGCUAACUCCGUGCCAGCAGCCGCGGUAAUACGGAGGAUCCGAGCGUUAUCCGGAUUUAUUGGGUUUAAAGGGAGCGUAGGUGGAUUGUUAAGUCAGUUGUGAAAGUUUGCGGCUCAACCGGAAAAUUGCAGUUGAAACUGGCAGUCUUGAGUACAGUAGAGGUUGGCGGAAUGCGUGGUGUAGCGGUGAAAUGCUUAGAUAUCACGAAGAACUCCGAUUGCGAAGGCAGUUCACUGGACUGCAACUGACACUGAGGCUCGAAAGUGUGGGUAUCAAACAGGAUUAGAUACCCGAGUAGUC
Molecule: ribosomal RNA, 460 nt
Filed under: uncultured bacterium
Lineage: Bacteria
Description: partial 16S ribosomal RNA
Rfam family: Bacterial small subunit ribosomal RNA
Source: RNAcentral